ACUAUGAAUCAGCCUCCUUCUAUCAAAGAAAACAUUCGGCAUUUGGUUUUUUGGGGAUUGGCUAACUUCAUUUAGCAUUAUCUUCUCUAACUCCAUCCAUUUACCUGCAAAUGCCAUGAUUUCAUUCUAUUUUAUUGCUGAGUAAUAUUCCAUUGUGUAUAUAUGCCACAUUUUUUUAUCCAUUUAUCCAUUGAAGGGCAUCUAGUUUGGCUCCACAGUUUAGCUAUUGUGAAUUGUGCUGCUAUAAACAUUGAUGUGGCUGCGUCCCUGAAGUAUGCUAUUUUUAAGUCCUUUGGGUAUAGACCGAGGAGUGGGAUAGUUGGGUUGUCUCUUGUUCUUUUGUUUGAGAAAUCAUGAUCUAUUAAAAAUAAUAUUCCCUUCAACCACACUCACAAACUGAAAUGCCCAGAGCGGUUGAGGAUAGAAGUGAGCUGGGCAUAAGAAAAAUUGUGAUUGCUCUUGACUCAAUUUGAUUUUUCAUUUUGAAACAAAACGAACACAGGAAAACAUUUUCCCACUACAGGCAAAGCAACAGUGCAAGCACAGUGACAGAUGGUGACUGUGCCUUGGCAUCAGGGUAAGAGACAAUAGGGAGUGGUGGGGAGUGUGGAAAACUGAAGAGCCCUGGCCUUGUAAAGGUGUGGUUCCUUCUCAGUGUAGCUGACUGCUGCCGUGUAGGAACACAGAUCUGGAGUGGUUGGGUCUCCAGAUUUUUUUUAAGAGAAGCUAGGAAUCUGCAUUUUAAAAAAUGUAAAACAUCCCAAUUAUUAAAAUUUAGCUCAACUCUUUAAAAACAUUGGCUGGGCCAAACAAAACAUCUGUGGACCAGAAGCUUCGAGUCCUUGGUUUCUGCCUUCUUUAUGUGCCACCGUCCUCUUUUUAUUUAAUCCUCUAGUGUCUGUGUAAGUACAUUAAGGUUGCUAUCAGUGGCCCUAUAUGAGGAUGAGAUUCAAAACAAAACAAACAAACAAAAAAACUACUAAAAACUCAGAUGGUGGUAGCUCCCUGCAGGGACUGAGGUUAAAUCAGAAAUUAUAAACUGGAUUCUCCCAAACUGGCUGUUUCUGAGAUAGAAUUCUUUUCUUCUCCAGCCUUCAACUUCCCAGUUAGCAAAACAGGUCAGGAAAACCUACCCUGACUACAACUUUGAAGUCCUGAGUGAGAAAGUGCC
Molecule: long non-coding RNA, 1171 nt
Filed under: Marmota monax (woodchuck)
Lineage: Eukaryota; Metazoa; Chordata; Mammalia; Rodentia; Sciuridae
Source: RNAcentral